GACGAACGCUGGCGGCGUGCUUAACACAUGCAAGUCGAACGGUGAAGGGGUCUGCUUUUGUGGGCCCUGGAUGAGUGGCGAACGGGUGAGUAACACGUGAGUAACCUGCCCCCUUCUUCUGGAUAACCGCAUGAAAGUGUGGCUAAUACGGGAUAUUCUGGGUCUGUCGCAUGAUGGGUCUGGGAAAGAUUGCGCCUUUGGGUGUUUUUGGUGGGGGAUGGGCUCGCGGCCUAUCAGCUUGUUGGUGGGGUGAUGGCCUACCAAGGCGGGGACGGGUAGCCGGGCUGGGAGGGUGGACGGUGACACUGGGACUGAGACACGGCCCAGACUGCUACGGGAGGCAGCAGUGGGGAAUAGUGCACAAUGGGCGCAAGCCUGAUGCAGCGACGCCGCGUGAGGGAUGGAGGCCUUCGGGUUGUAAACCUCUUUCGCCAGUGAAGCAGGCCUGCUCCUUGUGGGUGGGUUGACGGUAGCUGGAUAAGAAGCGCCGGCUAACUACGUG
RNAcentral lists this ribosomal RNA (502 nucleotides) under uncultured bacterium. RNAcentral's name for it is "partial 16S ribosomal RNA". It matches the Rfam family "Bacterial small subunit ribosomal RNA", at positions 28 to 507 of the family's 1533-position model. The record is from RNAcentral.